Molecule: ribosomal RNA, 299 nt
Filed under: Blastocystis sp.
Lineage: Eukaryota; Bigyra; Opalinata; Blastocystidae
Also listed under: 1 other name
Description: partial small subunit ribosomal RNA
Rfam family: Eukaryotic small subunit ribosomal RNA
Source: RNAcentral
GAUUAAGCCAUGCAUGUGUAAGUAUAAAUAAUUUUACUUUGAAACUGCGAAUGGCUCAUUAUAUCAGUUAUAGUUUAUUAGAAAUAUUUUACUACUUGGAUAACCGUAGUAAUUCUAGGGCUAAUACAUGAAUAAAACCUCAACUUCGGAAGAGGUGUGUUUAUUAGUAUGAAAACCAUAUAUCUUCGGAUAUAAUAGUGAGUAAUAAUAACCUUUCAUAUCGUAUGUCGUAAGAUAACGAUAGUUCUUUCAAGUUUCUGCCCUAUCAGCUUUCGAUGGUAGUAUAUGGGACUACCAUG